CACGUCAACGCGAGUUGCUGACGUGGCAGCAAAUCGCGCCCUUAAGGACGCAAUUUGCGUCCACGUCAACAACUCGCGCUGACGUGG
This is a non-coding RNA of Gossypium hirsutum (cotton), 87 nucleotides long. The record is from Rfam. Lineage: Eukaryota; Viridiplantae; Streptophyta; Magnoliopsida; Malvales; Malvaceae.